This 966-nucleotide long non-coding RNA is filed under the name Mus musculus (house mouse). RNAcentral describes it as "RIKEN cDNA E330010L02 gene". The record is from RNAcentral. Lineage: Eukaryota; Metazoa; Chordata; Mammalia; Rodentia; Muridae.
AGCAAAACAAAGAAAAGCAGAGCAGAAGCCCAUCGCCUGGGGAAACUGCAAGUUCUAAGGGGUCUCAUAAGCUGUGGAAGGUGGUAGCAUAGUGGUAGAUCUGUCCAAUCUUGGUGCAAAGCAUGUAAUCAUAUUUGUUGUGUUUUCAUUGCUGGGGCAUAUUUGGGAGGAGAUUUACCUCAACACCAUGGUGUUAUCACAAUGCUGCUCUCUUAUUAGUGAAAGAAAAAACAUAGGUUCUCUCCACGGAACACUGCAGAAGCAUGAUGGGUAAUUCGUUUGACAAGCUGGCAGGGCCAAGAUACCUGGCUUAUGACUACAUCAUUUACAAUAAAGUACCUGCUGUACAGCUGCCAAGCUUGCCAUGAGUGUGCAAACAUUUGGAAUUCAGACCACAAGAAUGCUGUCUGAGUCUUCAGGCACCCGGUCAUCUGGGUCCAGGUUGAUGCUGCAGCAUGUCUUCUAACCCGCCUACCACCAGAGGGCAGCAGCGUACAUUCACAACAAUUGUUGAGAAGUCAGGAAGCCCAGGAAUCUUAUGUGUGGAAGAGGACAUAGCAAAAGAAGAAGAAUUCCAUACCACCUGCGUUCAUGCCUGCCAUGCCCUGGGUUUGGGCCCCAAUCUGAACCAUCUCCUGCACAUAACCAUGCAAUCAUAAUGAGGAAUCUUGAGAUCUGUGACAAUCUCUCUCUUCUCCCCAGCCCACAGCUCCAUUAUACCCCACUCUAAUCACUAAGGAUCACUCAAGAUACUUCACUGUCUUCCGUUUUUCCAAAGUCCCUAAGUCACUUUAAGACUUUCUAUGUCCUCUGUAAACAGUCACAUACUCAUGUCUGAGGCUAGGUACACAUGCGGAGAUAAGAGUGUAAGAGACAAGAAUGAAGGAGAGAAAAGUGAGGAAGGAAAAAUAAAGAGCUAUUUAUGUGGUAGGUCUGUGUUCCCCAAACACCAUGGGAUGAUCCAAG